Molecule: ribosomal RNA, 508 nt
Filed under: uncultured bacterium
Lineage: Bacteria
Description: partial 16S ribosomal RNA
Rfam family: Bacterial small subunit ribosomal RNA
Source: RNAcentral
GAUGAACGCUAGCUACAGGCUUAACACAUGCAAGUCGAGGGGAAACGACAUCGAAAGCUUGCUUUUGAUGGGCGUCGACCGGCGCACGGGUGAGUAACGCGUAUCCAACCUGCCCACCACUUGGGGAUAACCUUGCGAAAGUAAGACUAAUACCCAAUGAUAUCUCUAGAAGACAUCUGAAAGAGAUUAAAGAUUUAUCGGUGAUGGAUGGGGAUGCGUCUGAUUAGCUUGUUGGCGGGGUAACGGCCUACCAAGGCUACGAUCAGUAGGGGUGAUGAGAGGGAGGUCCCCCCCAUUGGAGCUGAGACACGGUCCAAACUCCUACGGGAGGCAGCAGUGAGGAAUAUUGGUCAAGGAGCUAGAGCCUGAACCAGCCAAGUAGCGUGCAGGAUGACGGCCGUAUGGGUUGUAAACUGCUUUUAUAAAGGAAUAAAGUGAGUCUCGUGAGACUUUUUGCAUGUACCUUAUGAAUAAGGACCGGCUAAUUCCGUGCCAGCCGCCGCCGUAA